Molecule: long non-coding RNA, 767 nt
Organism: Eubalaena glacialis (North Atlantic right whale)
Lineage: Eukaryota; Metazoa; Chordata; Mammalia; Artiodactyla; Balaenidae
Exons: 13
Source: RefSeq, a predicted model, not a curated record
CGGUAGGUUUUCGGUCUCAUUCUUCCACAGAUUUCGGGUUCGGGCGCGCGUCGAACACUAAAGGAUACCAAAGAGUUCUCGUUACAAUGUGGUUUAACCCAAAAGGCCUUACGGGUGGGAGGAUGGGACAAGACCUGUCCCUGUGUGGAUCGAGCAUUAUGGCGGCGCUCCAGCAUCUCAUCACCAAUCCUAAGGAAUUCAGCUGCCUCCCAGGGUGAAUGCAGCUUGUUCCUCUUGGAAUGAUUUUCCUGGGGAGGGAGAUGGCAACCCAGCAAGCGGCACAGUUGGUUCUUGUGAUGGUGUGCUCUUCCCUCACCCACAUGUCACUGUCAGAUGAUUUGAAUGAUAAUGCUGAUUCUCUGUGAGGUUGUCCCCAUGGUGAUGUAUACGUCUGUCUUACAAUGCCUCUUGAUCUGCUCAGGGUCAAACUCCUGGAAAGAGUUGAGAGCGGAGCAGCUUGUUCUUUGUUCCUGUAUACUCGUGGAAAGCCUUCCAGAGUUGAAAGGUACCAUUGCCAAUUACCUGCUUGUUGGCUCAAAGGUCCAGUUCCUUGUCUGGAGCCUGAGAAUGAAUUGAGGGGAAAGGAGUAAGCCAUAUUUCUGUUCAACUCCAGUCUGAAGUUAAGAGGUCUGAAGAAGGAACAAAGCACACAUAAUGGAAUCCAACUCUCGAAGGAUAUCAAAAAUGGAAUUUUCUUAUACAACCUACCUGUUCAAAUUAGCAUACAAUCAUUUCAGCCUUUCUAAAUAAAACUUUGUUUUUUUAAA